This 926-nucleotide long non-coding RNA is filed under the name Rosa chinensis. RNAcentral's name for it is "sRNA RchiOBHm_Chr2g0121461". The record is from RNAcentral. Lineage: Eukaryota; Viridiplantae; Streptophyta; Magnoliopsida; Rosales; Rosaceae.
UGAUUUUAGUCAUUAGUUCUGCACAUACCUGGGAUUUGAGUGAAGUAACAGAGGACGGACUGUAUUGUGGCCACUGAGCUUGCGAAGCCCCUCACUGCUUACUGCAUGCAAUGACAGAAACGAGUUUGGAGUAGAAUCUCAGCCAAAAGAGGCUGAGGAAAGUGUGCUCCAUGUUGUGACAAAGCUAAUGUCAAAAAAGGACAGUGGUCUCCUGAGGAAGAUAAAGCUAAGUCUUGGGACUCAUGGAACUGGUGGCAAUUGGAUUCAUCUGCCACAAAAAGCUGGCUUUUAGAUUCUUCAACAAGAAUCAAGUUGACCACAUUAAGGGUGAUCAGAACACGUGGUUUUUUAAUAAAGAAGCCAAGCUGCCGAAAUUGCAGACAGUCACCCCUCAAUUUGGAACUUUGUUUCUUCCAUGACUUGGCAUCUGAGUAAUCGACUGCAAUACUUUGAAGGUUAAGCAAUAUCAGUAUACCAAAGAUACAAAAUGAAUUGCUUCUAAAAAGUCAUGGUUCUCUUACGAAUCUGGUCUGGGAAUGGCUUCCUGUGAUUUUGAUCAUUGAUUUAUUUGUAUUAUCCUCCAACACUGUGGCACUCAAAGUGAUAACUCGAUCAGCUAUGAGUAGAUGUAUAGCAGCCUCCUUCAGUACUCAUGUUGUAAAGUUUUUAGUCACACAAAGGUGCUGAACUUGGGAACUUUGUGAUCUUUUCUCACAUGUUGUUUGUUAUAGGAGAGAUCUUCUAUCAUUGUUGUGUCUGAAAUCUCUUUCUUUGAGAAAUGCAGCACUUUUGAAAAUUGUUUUUGUUAUUUCCUGCAAAGGAAGAGGCAGUGACAGAUUAUUAAUAUGAAUGUUGUAAAAUAUGUUGCAGUAAACAUGUAAAAUGUUUGUCAUUGAUGAAAUCGAUAUCUGAUAGCUUUUAGUUCU